This is an RNA transcript of Arabidopsis thaliana (thale cress), 413 nucleotides long. RefSeq lists it as uncharacterized. NCBI's taxonomy places the organism in Eukaryota, Viridiplantae, Streptophyta, Magnoliopsida, Brassicales, Brassicaceae. The record is from RefSeq. The transcript has a single exon.
ACUGAAUCUGAUGGACCAGUUCAUGGAGAUCCUCUGUUAUCAGCUACUCGUGGCAUUGGAGCUUCAGGAGCUCGUCGUGGUUGGGAUAUAAAAGUUGUAUGGGAAUGUGUUGAGAUUGAACUCUCCGAUUGAUCCGGCAAAGAAGAAGAAGAACAUCAGUGAGAAGGAAACAACAAUGAUGAAGAACAAGAAGAUUGGAAACUAGAAGAAGAAGACGACGUAAGAGAGAGACGUGAGAAGAAGAAGAAAAUUCAACAAGUGAAGUGGGUUUUUAGGUUUUAUCUUAUUGGGCUGAUGAAGUUGUUUAGGCCCAAAGUGGUGAAGUAUGUUUUGUUGUGACCCAUUCGUAGAAGUAGCUUAUUCUAGCUAAGUACUUGAGGUAGAGUAGUUGGGGUUGUUAGUGGCUAAGGUAA